Long non-coding RNA from Bos indicus x Bos taurus (hybrid cattle), 559 nucleotides. The record is from Ensembl. NCBI's taxonomy places the organism in Eukaryota, Metazoa, Chordata, Mammalia, Artiodactyla, Bovidae.
CUUCAUGCUCUGGGACCAGGAGCUGGGGGAGCAAGUGGCAAAGCCAGGCCUCUGAGGUCACCUCUGCCAGACAGGGAGGCAGCUCCGCAUAUUCCACCAGCGGGACCCAGGCAGAAGCCUAUUCCAUUUGGCUUGGGGAGGAGACAUGUGGUUUUCAUGACAGUGGACCUCCUUUCUAAUUAGAGACUCACUGAGGCGUGUGUCAAAAUCGGCAGCAUUUUUUUGAGCUCCACAAAUAAGAACAGCACUUCACUCCAGGGCAGUGUUUCCUGGAUCUGAGGCACCUCCCUGAAGAUGCUGUUUCUCUGACAUACUUUUCAUAGCAUGCCGGCUCACUGGGUGUCAACCCAUCAGGAAGCCGGGGCCUUGAGGGACUCCUCUCCGAAGACCCAGGCUGGCAGACAUUGUCACCAACCACGUGGGGAAUUGAAGCAAAGGCCUCUGAAACUGCAAAACCCACUGAAAUGGAUUUUGAGAAGAAUACCCAGGUGUCUGGUGAGGCGGCCUUUCAUUUCCUAUUUUGCAAUGACACUGAGUUUUUCACUUCAUGUACUGAUCU